GAUGAACGCUAGCGGGAGGCUUAACACAUGCAAGUCGAGGGGUAAAUGGCAGCAAUGCUAUGAGACCGGCGAACGGGUGCGUAACGCGUAUGUAACCUACCCUGUACAGGGGGAUAACCCGGAGAAAUUCGGACUAAUAUCCCAUAACAAUAUCCGGGGGCAUCUUUGGAUAUUUAAAGUUCCGGCGGUACGGGAUGGGCAUGCGUAACAUUAGCUAGUUGGUAAGGUAACGGCUUACCAAGGCUUUGAUGUUUAGGGGUCCUGAGAGGGUGGUCCCCCACACUGGUACUGAGACACGGACCAGACUCCUACGGGAGGCAGCAGUGAGGAAUAUUGGUCAAUGGGCGCAAGCCUGAACCAGCCAUCCCGCGUGCAGGAAGACGGCGCUAUGCGUUGUAAACUGCUUUUCCAGGGAGAGAAACUUGCGCACGUGUUGCGCAAUUGACGGUACCCUGGGAAUAAGCAUCGGCUAACUCCGUGCCAGCAGCCGCGGUAAACUGUACGUCGU
RNAcentral lists this ribosomal RNA (508 nucleotides) under uncultured bacterium. RNAcentral's name for it is "bacterial SSU rRNA". It matches the Rfam family "Bacterial small subunit ribosomal RNA", at positions 28 to 535 of the family's 1533-position model. The record is from RNAcentral.